GACCCAUUGUGCAGCCUACUGUCUCCCAUUCCAGCCAAAGUCUAAAAAGAAAUGGUCCCUUGGUUCAUCACUUUAAGCAUAAGAUGCUCUUUUUCAUCUUGGAUGCUCUUGGGACCAAACCUCUAGCUCAAAUUUUGCAAAGUGGUCACCUAGGCAUGCUCUAGUGUUCUCAUGGUCCAUGGGAAACUCUUGAGCCAUGUCUCCACUUUAGCCAUUCACCUUUUCUUUUUCACCAAGCACUAGGCAAAGGAAUCUAUAAAAAUUUCACCACUUUUGGUCCUCACCUGGCCUCUACUUUACGAGACACUUAAUGGUAUAAUGUUUGAAGGCCUAGGAUGGGGGUCGGCCGACCCUCACUUUGGACCAACUCUAAAAAGGUUUUCAAAGUUCGACAUAAUGUUUAAAGUGCUACAAGGGGGGUUGACCGACCCCUGCUAUGGGGGUCCUCCACUUGCCCUUCUCUCCCUAUAAAUACCCUUGCAUUUGUGAGCUCAACUCCACACCCAAACCAACAGAAUCAUCUCGAGCUUAGAAUCUCUCUUCUUCUCUCCAUUGUUGCAAGUUCUUUCUCAAGUGUAGUUUAGUAGUAGCCUUCCAAAAAAAAACAAAAAAUAUUUAUCCCUUUCUCUGUUGCAUAUUAGUAGUAGGAGCUUGGGUUGUCUCAUUUGUGCAGCUAGAUGAAGAAGUUGCUCACCUCCUGGUUCAAGAAGUCCAAGGAGGGUGAGAGUUCUUCUGAAGGCUCUCACCACACCGAUGAAGGAACCCAUGGGAGGAGUGAUGAGGAAGAGAGCUACCACCUUAUGGUACUCUAUGAGCCUUGUUGAUGCAAAACUGAUCUGCAAACACAAAGGGCUAAUACCCGAUUCAAACGUUGAGGCGUGCCAGCCGAUUUGACCUUGCUAUCGGCAAAGGUGGUAACUCGAAUACUUUAGUCCUGACAACAGCGAUGCGCCCGGAUGUCACGGCUAAGAGGUACUCACGCGGAACUUGAGAACACGCCGAGCUUAAGUCAACGAAUUCCUAAGAACUCGUAACAAAAGGAAAAAGUAUGACGAAGUCGUCGAAAAGUAAAUGCUGG
RNAcentral lists this long non-coding RNA (1078 nucleotides) under Sorghum bicolor (sorghum). RNAcentral describes it as "long non-coding RNA (SBIC_LNC005311)". Lineage: Eukaryota; Viridiplantae; Streptophyta; Magnoliopsida; Poales; Poaceae. The record is from RNAcentral.